RNAcentral lists this ribosomal RNA (446 nucleotides) under uncultured bacterium. Its description in RNAcentral is "partial 16S ribosomal RNA". It matches the Rfam family "Bacterial small subunit ribosomal RNA", at positions 338 to 795 of the family's 1533-position model. The record is from RNAcentral.
CCUACGGGCGGCAGCAGUCGAGAAUCAUUCACAAUGGGGGAAACCCUGAUGGUGCGACGCCGCGUGGGGGAAUGAAGGUCUUCGGAUUGUAAACCCCUGUCAUGUGGGAGCAAAUUAAAAAGAUAGUACCACAAGAGGAAGAGACGGCUAACGCUGUGCCAGCAGCCGCGGUAAUACAGAGGUCUCAAGCGUUGUUCGGAAUCACUGGGCGUAAAGCGGGCGUAGGCUGUUUCGUAAGUCGUGUGUGAAAGGCGCGGGCUCAACCCGCGGAAGGCAAUUGAUACUGCGAGACUAGAGUACUGGAGAGGGAACCGGAAUUCUCGGUGUAGCGGUGAAAUGCGUAGAUAUCAAGAGGAACACUCGUGGCGAAGGCGGGUUCCUGGACAUUAACUGACGCUGAGGCACGAAGGCCAGGGGAGCGAAAGGGAUUAGAUACCCUUGUAGUC